RNAcentral lists this non-coding RNA (480 nucleotides) under Zea mays. Its description in RNAcentral is "Bacterial large subunit ribosomal RNA". It matches the Rfam family "Bacterial large subunit ribosomal RNA", at positions 1303 to 1677 of the family's 2925-position model. The record is from Rfam by way of RNAcentral. Lineage: Eukaryota; Viridiplantae; Streptophyta; Magnoliopsida; Poales; Poaceae.
UGAGUAACAAAAACAUUGGUGAGAAUCCAAUGCCCCGAAAACCUAAGGUUCCCUCCGCAAGGUUCGUCCACGGAGGGUGAGUCAGGGCCUAAGAUCAGGCCGAAAGGCGUAGUCGAUGGACAACAGGUCAAUAUUCCUGUACUACCCCUUCUCUUAUUGGUACGGAGGGACGGAGGAGGCUAGGUUAGCCGAAAGAUGGUUAUAGGUUUAAGGACACAAGGUGACCCUGCUUUUUCAGGGCAAGAAGGGGUAGAGAAAAUGCCUCGAGCCGAGGUCCGAGUACCAAGCGCUGCAGCGCUGAAGUAUGAGCCCCGUGGACUAGUCAUUGCUUCUCCGCGAGGCUCAUACCAGGCGCUACGGCGCUGAAGUAUGUAACCCAUACUCUCAGGAAAAGCUCGAACGACCUUCAACAAAAGGGUACAUGUACCCGAAACCUGUGUGAAUUCCAUUCUAAUUCUAAUAAUUAUAAUUUAGACAAAA